GUGUGUGAGGCUAAUUUGGCUCUGACAUCUGUCAUACCAUGAAUAGUCAGGUUUGACUCAGAUCAUCUGGAUGGCUAGGGAGGUGUCCACUUCCUCCCUUGUCUCUCCAUCUGCAUCCUUUCUGAAACCGCGUGCUUGGUUGAAAAGUACACCCUUCUCUGAAUUGAGGAAGACUGCUCUUUGGUUAUGUAGGUAUACACGCAGCUGAGCUCCUGACCAGAACCUCCAAACAAGCACUACAUAAAGAAAGGAAAGCCUUUAAAACAAAUAGUACAGAAGCAGUUGC
This is an unclassified non-coding RNA of Mesocricetus auratus (golden hamster), 286 nucleotides long. Its record names the gene 7SK. It matches the Rfam family "7SK RNA". From Rfam's summary of the family: 7SK was discovered as an abundant small nuclear RNA in the mid-70s but a possible function has only recently been suggested. The record is from Ensembl. Lineage: Eukaryota; Metazoa; Chordata; Mammalia; Rodentia; Cricetidae.